AGCGAACGUUAGCGGCGGGCCUAACACAUGCAAGUCGAGCGAGAAAGGGGGUUCGCCCCCGAGUACAGCGGCGGACGGGUGAGUAACACGUAGGUAAUUUUCCCUUGAGCGGGGGACAACGUUCCGAAAGGGACGCUAAUACCGCAUAAGUUCUUGGGUGCUUCGGCACUGGAGAGGAAAGCUAGGCCGCAAGGUCUGGCACUCGAGGAGAAGCCUGCGUCGCAUCAGCUAGUUGGUGGGGUAAUGGCCUACCAAGGCAAAGACGCGUAGCUGGUCUGAGAGGAUGAUCAGCCACACUGGGACUGAGACACGGCCCAGACUCCUACGGGAGGCAGCAGU
Molecule: ribosomal RNA, 339 nt
Filed under: uncultured bacterium
Lineage: Bacteria
Description: bacterial SSU rRNA
Rfam family: Bacterial small subunit ribosomal RNA
Source: RNAcentral